This is an RNA transcript of Raphanus sativus (radish), 834 nucleotides long. RefSeq lists it as uncharacterized. The record is from RefSeq and is a predicted model, not a curated record. The transcript has 3 exons. Lineage: Eukaryota; Viridiplantae; Streptophyta; Magnoliopsida; Brassicales; Brassicaceae.
AAAUUUUCAACUUCUAUUUAUAAUUAUUUCCUCGUUCAUUUCUUCUUCUUCUCGAUAUUUUUUCUCAUUCCCCUUGGAGUUCCAUUGAUCUGAAAAAGAGUAUAUGACUCAGAAACUUGGUAUUGAAGAAGAUAAAUUUCAAGAACUGUGCCUUGAGCUUUACAAAAUCUAUGGAACCACUAUGGCUGGUCUCAAGGCUGUGGGUUGUGACUUUGAUUACGACGAUUUCCAUCAGUACUCUAAAAUUAACCAUCUUGAGAUUUCCCUGAUCUUGAGAAAUCUUCGACAUAAGCAGUUACAUUGCGAACCCUGAUCCAAGCAUCCAACUCCCAAAGACUCCGGUUAUAUGCAAACCAUUUGAAGUAGCAAUUCGAACAUGUUUUCAAGAUGACCAACAUCAAUCCUCACAAGACAGUAAGAACACAAUCAAAAUCUCUCUCUUGUUUUUCUUGCCUAAUCACUAAAGCUUCCUUGUUGACGACAAAGCCGAGGAGAUUAAAUCCAGGCAGAAGGUCGCCAUUGAAACCAUUGCUUAAACCAAAACAUUUCACAGCUCAUAUAGUAACACAAAGACAUAGCACGAAACCAUUACUUUAUCACUACUCACUCUUGGAAGAGAAAAUAAUCAUAAGUGUAGUUUAAAGCUUUUAUUGAGAGAGAGAGAGAACAUAAACCAAGUCGAGUAUAUUUAAUUAAUAAUAUAUUAAAAAUGAGUCCAAACUUUUUAAUCUAUUUUACAAAAAAGCUAAAUAAGUACAUAAAUUUCAUGAUCUUUUUUUAUCAUUCACUUGUCUCAUGAUCCAUGAUGAUUCCAUGCGUAAGGAAAGCAAGAAC